ACGACCCUCGGAGGCGCAGACCUUCACCCACCUAACCGGUCACCUGGGGUGAAGCGAGCCAAUGGUGAGACCGCACGAGGAGCAC
Regulatory RNA element from Deinococcus peraridilitoris DSM 19664, 85 nucleotides. It matches the Rfam family "c-di-GMP-II-GAG riboswitch aptamer". The record is from Rfam. NCBI's taxonomy places the organism in Bacteria, Thermotogati, Deinococcota, Deinococci, Deinococcales, Deinococcaceae.